Myiozetetes cayanensis is the source of this 247-nucleotide long non-coding RNA. RefSeq lists it as uncharacterized. The record is from RefSeq and is a predicted model, not a curated record. NCBI's taxonomy places the organism in Eukaryota, Metazoa, Chordata, Aves, Passeriformes, Tyrannidae. The transcript is spliced from 3 exons.
GAGGUGUGGGAGGGGUCGGAUCGGGGCUCGGCGGGACCUCCGUGCCCGGACCGCGGCUGCUCCCGGGGCUCUCAGCCGGUCAGACGCGGGUGUGCUCUGUGGAAUGAACCGAAAGCUGUAAACAAGAGCCAGCAGAAAUGGGAGCUGCAGGUGACACUGGACGCACCGAGCAAUUAACGCUGCACUGAGCAACUCCUGCAGCAUCGCCUGGUGGCAGCAAAGGCCCGUGGAAAAAUCCCAAAUGGCC